UGUGGGGAUUCAGCUUCAACAUUCAGCUUUUACAGGAGUAACCAAUAACCACAUGUUGUUGUUUUUUUUUAUGGAAUACUAGAGAGUUACUCCUCAGCUUCCAUGGAUCCCUGCUGCUUUGAAGAGCCUGAGUUAAUCCUUUUAGUUAACAGUGACUGCCUCUGCUGCUGUCGGCCAAAUACAAAGGAACAGGAUGGAGGACGUUCAGAGGGUUUGUGUGCCAGAAGAGGAAGACAGAUGACCCACUGUGAUGACCCCUAGAGGAAGCAGGCAGAAGAAGAAGCCUGCAUGAUGAAGCAUCCUUGGGUACAAUACUGAACUUUGUGCCAAGGUCCUCGAGUCUCUCGCACUGGCCUGCCUCUCUCCUUUAUUUUCUCUCUUUGGCGUGUUGCGGUCACCUUCCCUCAGUGCAGCUCCUCCUGUCUCUCCGCCUUCCUCCAGGCACGCACCUGCCUGCAAUCAGCUCUAAUGACUCACUUGCUGCUUGUCUAUGACUGGGCUAACUACUUCAAGCCUCUAUCGUUGUCACAACGUUGCAUCAGCCAAGAUACGCCCUCGAUCCUGUUUGGUUUGUGUGUUUUAUGUCUUGGAUAACCUCUCUGUGUAACCUCUCUUGCUAUGAAGCCCCACUCACAUGAGCCCUGUUUUGUGUGUGUGUGUGCACGCCCUGGGAAGGCCACAUUGCCUGACUGCCACAGCUGGAACUCAAAUGCACCACCACCACCACCACCUUUGUUACUGCCUUUUCACUGUGCAAAAAAACUUGUCAAUAAAUCUGUUGAACUCUUACAGUGCUCCACACCUGGGUGAUGAUUCUGUUAGCUAGUGACACUUUAAUGCAUCCGUGACACAGAGUG
This is a long non-coding RNA of Oreochromis niloticus (Nile tilapia), 857 nucleotides long. RefSeq lists it as uncharacterized. The transcript is spliced from 3 exons. The record is from RefSeq and is a predicted model, not a curated record. NCBI's taxonomy places the organism in Eukaryota, Metazoa, Chordata, Actinopteri, Cichliformes, Cichlidae.